RNAcentral lists this ribosomal RNA (253 nucleotides) under uncultured bacterium. RNAcentral describes it as "partial 16S ribosomal RNA". It matches the Rfam family "Bacterial small subunit ribosomal RNA", at positions 524 to 776 of the family's 1533-position model. The record is from RNAcentral.
UACGUAGGGUGCAAGCGUUGUCCGGAAUUAUUGGGCGUAAAGAGCUCGUAGGCGGUCUGUUGCGUCGGCUGUGAAAACCCGGGGCUCAACCCCGGGCCUGCAGCCGAUACGGGCAGACUAGAGUUCGGCAGGGGAGACUGGAAUUCCUGGUGUAGCGGUGAAAUGCGCAGAUAUCAGGAGGAACACCAAUGGCGAAGGCAGCUCGCUGGGACGGUACUGACGCUGAGACGCGAAAGCGUGGGGAGCAAACAGG